Oncorhynchus mykiss (rainbow trout) is the source of this 612-nucleotide non-coding RNA. NCBI's taxonomy places the organism in Eukaryota, Metazoa, Chordata, Actinopteri, Salmoniformes, Salmonidae. The record is from RefSeq and is a predicted model, not a curated record.
UAGCAUUGUUUGCACAGUUAUCCUUUUUGACAUUUCGGAUUAUUUUUAAUCCAGUCCAGUGGUAGUUUUAAAACACAGCCAGAUAGAGAGAACGUUUUCUACACACAUUUGAGUGUAUGUUUGGAGUGCUGUGCGGAACGAGGCACUGGCCCAUAUUCUCUUGUGUUUAGCUCGCUUAUCCAGCUUCACCGUGUGGGAAAUCUGCCUGAGGUGAAUCUGCCUGAGGUGAAAAUUGGACUGGACUGAGGACGACUCUGGCACAAUCUGGUGGAGUCAAUGAAGUGCGUUCCUAUGGCAACGUCAUUGACUUUGUCAGAGUCUCGUAUCUGGACCUUGAUGCGUUUGCAGAGCGGAGGAAACAUCUCAGUGAAGACCACCUGCUCAUUCCAGAUGGGCUCAUAACUGCUCUUCUGGACAGAAGUCUUCCCCUGGAGGAAACAACAACAAACGUUUGGAUUGACACACAUUUAAUUCUUAUACUAAGACACUUCAUUUUAUGUACAUAUUGUAAAUAAUGUAUACUGUAUUUAUAAUGUGACUGUGAUCCAUUUGAAUGCUAUUUGUCUCUUUUGUUUAUCCAACAAAUAAAUAAAACAGACAGUUUCAAUAAAA